RNAcentral lists this ribosomal RNA (453 nucleotides) under Triticum aestivum (bread wheat). RNAcentral describes it as "partial small subunit ribosomal RNA". The record is from RNAcentral. Lineage: Eukaryota; Viridiplantae; Streptophyta; Magnoliopsida; Poales; Poaceae.
AUGUGUGUUGGCUCCAACAAUUCUCAUUGGUCUCAAACCAAUUAGAUGCAUUUCGAUGAUCAUGAGUUUGAGGUGGACGAGGAUGGUGAGGGCAUCAUCGAUGCAUCAAAAGGAAGAGGGGGCAACUACACCAUGGACAAAGACAUCUUGCUAUGCAAUACUUGGUUGCAAGUGUCGAGGGAUCCCUCCGUUGGAGCGAUGAGAAGCAAAAGGAGUAAAUCAAUCUUGCCCGUGAAGAAGUCUUGGUCCAAAAAAGAGCCAUGGUUGGCAUGGGCGGCAUGGGUGGCUUGGGCAGCAUGGGCGGCAUGGGCGCCAUGGGAGGCAUGUGCGCCAUGGGAGGCAUCGGUGGCUUCGGAGCUACCAUGGGCGGUAUGGGAGGCAUGGGUGGCUUCGGAGCUACCAUGGGGGCCAUGGGAGGCAUGUGUGGCUUUGGAGCUACCAUGGGAGGCAUGA